GGUUUAGUUUUUCUUAUUGAUUUUUAGGGUUUAGGAUUUCUUAGUGAUUUUUUAGGGUUUAGGAUCUUAGGUUUUAGGGUAUUAGGGUUUAUAAGGGUUUAAGGUUUAGGAGUUUCUUAGGGUUUCUUCGUUUAGGUUUUUGCGAUUCGUAUUUUAGGUUAAGUCUUUUUUAGGGUUUAUGGUUUUUUUUAGGUUUAUGAUUUUUAUGAUUAAGGUUUUUAAAUGUUUUAGGGUUUCUUAGGUUUUUUUAAGAAUUUGGAUUUCUUAACAUUUAGGAUUACGUAAGCCUAAUAUAUUUAGGGUUUUUUCUAGGGCUUAUGGUUUUAAAAGGAAUUUUUUUCCUCGGGUAUUAUAGGUUUAGGUGUUUAAAUGUAUUUUAGGGUGUAGGAUUUCUUAGGAUUCCAUAUGGAUUGGGGUUUAAGGUUUAGCCCUAUGAUUUAGAGUUUCUUAGGGUAUAUUAUUUAGCAUUUUAGGAUUUUCCUAGGGUUUGGUUUUUUUAAGGGUUUUUAGGAUUUAGGGUUUAGUGUUUUAGGUUUAGGGUUUUUCUAGAAUAGGGUUUAGGUUUGUUAGGUUUAAGAUUUUUUAGAGGUUUUCUAAAGUUAGAGUUUAUAAAAAUAAAUUUAUUGCUUUCUAGGGUUUUGGGUUUCUUAUUGCUCUUUUGGGUUUAGGGUUUGGGGUUUUCUUAGGGUUAGGGUUUAGGGCUAAUGAUUUUUAAGGGUUUAGGGUUCAAGGUUUAGAGUUUAGGAUUUAGGGUUCUUUAGGUUUAGGGGUUUUAAAAGUUUUUUAGGGUUUUUUUUAUUUCUUAAAGUUUAGGGUUUCUUUGGGUAUAAGGUCUAAGUUUUUAUUUAAGGGUUUUUAAGGUUUAGGGCUUAAGUUUUUGUUGAAUAUUUUAGGUUUAGAGUUUUUUUAGGUUUAGGAUUUUAAAAGGAGUUUUCAAGAUUGUUAUGAUUUCCUACGGUUUAGGGAUUCUUAGGGCUUAGAAUUUCUUUGGGUUGAGGGCUUAGGAUUUUAAAUUUAGGGUUUUUAGGGGUUACAGGUUUUAAUUGUGUUUUUAGGUUUAGUAUUUUUAAAGGUGUUUUUAGGAUUUAGGGUUUAGUGUUUUAGGUUUAGGGUUUUUCUAGAAUAGGGUUUAGGUUUGUUAGGUUUAAGAUUUUUUAGAGGUUUUCUAAAGUUAGAGUUUAUAAAAAUAAAUUUAUUGCUUUCUAGGGUUUUGGGUUUCUUAUUGCUCUUUUGGGUUUAGGGUUUGGGGUUUUCUUAGGGUUAGGGUUUAGGGCUAAUGAUUUUUAAGGGUUUAGGGUUCAAGGUUUAGAGUUUAGGAUUUAGGGUUCUUUAGGUUUAGGGGUUUUAAAGUUUUUUUUUAGGUUUUUGAGGUUUUAGUUUUUCUUAGUGAAUUUUAGGGUUUAGGAUUUCUUAGUGAUUUUUUAGGGUUUAGGGUUUAGGAUCUUAGGUUUUAGGGUAUUAGGGUUUAUAUGGGUUUAAGGUUUAGAGUUUUUAGGGUUUCUUCGUUUAGGUUUUAGGAAUUCGGAUUUUAGGUUAAGAGAUUUUUAGUGUUUAUGGUUUUUUUUAAGUUUAUGAGUUUUAUGAUUAAGGUUUUCAAAUGGUUUAGGGUUUCUUUGUGUAUAAGGUCUAAGUUUUUAUUUAAGGGUUUUUAAGGUUUAGGGCUUACGUUUUUGUUGAAUUUUUUAGGUUUAGAGUUUUUUUAGGUUUAGGAAUUUAAAAGGGGUUUUCGGGAUUGUUAUUAUUUCCUACAGUUUAGGGGUUCUUAGGGCUUAGAAUUUCUUUGGGUUUAGGGCUUAGGAUUUUAAAAUUUAGGGUUUUUAGGGGUUACGGGUUUUAAGGGUGUUUUUAGGUUUAGUAUUUUUAAACGUGUUUUUAGGCUUUAGGGUUUGUUGGUGUUUUACUAGUCUUGAGGUUUAGGGGUUUCCCUAAGGUUUAGGGUUUAGUGUUUCUUAGGGUUUAGGAUUUUAAAAGGGGUUUUCAAGAUUGGUAUGAUUUCUUACGAUUUAGGGGUUCUUAAGGCUUAGGGUUUCUUUGGGUUAAGGGCUUAGGAUUUUAAAUUUAGGGUUUUUAGUGGGUUACGAGUUUAAAGGGUGUUUUUAGGAUUUAGGGUUUGUUGGUGUUUCAUAAAUCUUGGGGUUUCCCUAAGGUUUAGGGUAUAGUGUUUCUUAGGGUUUAGGGCUUCUUAGGGGUUUUAGAUUUCUUAGAUUAGGCUUUUAAAGGUGUUGAUCUAAUAUGCUUAUGAUACGCCAACUCAAGGUUAGCUUGGGGUCACUCGUGAUCCUAGGUCUCGAGUUACGUCAAGCGGGUAACCUCGGGCAGUAAGAAAAACAAUGUAUGAAUAAAACCCUCUAACUAACUAGAGAUGCCGGGACAAGCCACCAUCUAACUCUAGCAAAACUGAAACUAAAAUGAAUGACUGAAUAUAAAAACAUGUAAAUCGUCCUCCAAAAACGAGGACUGACCACUGAUAUUGCUGAAUACGGAUCGGGAACCGAUAUCCGCGUGAUCUGAAUGCAGAGGACCUGAACCUACAUCAAGAGAAGAGGUAGCAUAGAGUAUGUAUUAGCAGUUGAAAGAUUCUGAGCAUGCAUGACAUGACAAAGCUGAACAAAUAUAUAUAACUUAACAGAGCAUAUUGAAGAAUAACAUAAUCUGAACAUGAUGAAUAAGAGUUUAGCUUUUUGUUGAAGGGAUUUUAGGUUAGGGUUUAGAGCUUAAGUUUUUCUAAAAAAAUUUUAGGUCAAGAGUUGUUUUUCAAUUUAGGAUUGAUAAAGAUUUUUUUAGGAUCAAUAUUGUUUUUACGAUAUAUGAGUUCUAAGGGCUUAGGACUUAGGGUUUUAGAUUAAGGAAUUUUUUAGUGUUUUUAAGGUUUGUUUUUGGAAUUUUUAGUUUUAGGGUUUUAAAGGUUUUUAAUUGUUUAGCUCUUCUUAGGAUUUUUUAGGGUUUAGGACUUCUUAGAGUUUCAUAAGGCUUAGGGUUGGGGGUUUAUCCCUAAGGUUUAGGUUUUAAGUUUCUUAGGGUUUGAGUUUAAAAUUUAAGGUCUCCUAAGGUUUUUUUGGGUCAGUUAGGGUGUAGGUGUUUAGGGUUUAGUGUUUUAGGUUUAGGGUUUUUCUACGGUUUAGGGUUUAGGUUUGUUAGGUUUAAGAUUUUUUAGGUUUAGAGUUUUUAAAGCUUUUUUUUGUUGAUUUUUAAUGUUUAUAUUUUUUAAGAUUUAGGAUUUCUUAGGGUUUAGGGCUUCUUAGAGAUUCAUAAGGCUUAGGGUUUGGGGUUUAUCCCUAUGGUUUAGGGUUUAAGCUUUUUAGGGUGUGAGUUUAACAUUUAAGGUCUACUAGGUUUUUUUUUUGGGGCAUUUAGGGUCUAGGGGUUUAGGGUCUAGUGCUUUAGGUUUAGGCGUUUUCUAUGGUUUAGGGUUUUAGGUUUGUUAGGUUUAAGAUUUUUUAGAGGUUUUCUAGGGUUAGACUUUAUAAAAAUAAAUUUAUUGUUUUCUAGGGUUUUGGGUUUCUUAGUGCUUUUUUGGGUUUAGGGUUUUCUUAGGGUUAGGGUUUUGGGCUUAUGAUUUUAAGGGUUUAGGGUUCAAGGUUUAGAGUUUGGGAUUUAGGGUUCUUUAGGUUUAGGGGUUUUAAAGUUUUUUUUUUUUUAGGUUUUUUAUGGUUUAGUCUUUCUUAGUGAUUUUUAGGGUUUAGAAUUUCUUAGUGAUUUUUUUUGGUUUAGGGUUUAGGAUCUUAGGUUUUAGGGUAUUAGGGUUUAUAAGGGUUUAAGGUUUAGGAGUUUCUUAGGGUUUCUUCGUUUAGGUUUUAGGGAUUCGGAUUUUAGGUUAUGUGUUUUUUAGAGUUUAUGGUUUUUUUUAGGUUUAUGAUUUUUAUGAUUAAGGUUUUUAAAUGUUUUAGGGUUUCUUAGGUUUUUUUAAGAAUUUGGAUUUCUUAACAUUUAGGAUUACGUAAGCCUAAUAUAUUUAGGGUUUUUUCUAGGGCUUAUGGUUAUUUUUCAGGGUUUAGUUUUUCUUAGGGAUUUUUAGGGUUUAGGAUUUCUUAGUUAUUUUUUAGGGUUUAGGGUUUAGGAACUUUGGUUUUAAGGUAUUAGGGUUUAUAAGGGUUUAAGGUUUAGGAGUUUCUUAGGGUUUCUUCGUUUAGGUUUUAGGGAUUCGUAUUUUAGGUUAAGUCUUUUUUAGGGUUUAUAGUUUUAUUUAGGUUUAUGAUUUUUAUGAUUAAGGUUUUUAAAUGUUUUAGGGUUUCUUAGGUUUUUUUAAGAAUUUGGAUUUCUUAAGAUUUAGGAUUACGUAAGCCUAAUUAAUAUAUUUAGGGUUUUUCUAGGGCUUAUGGUUUUAAAGGUAUUUUUUUUCCUCGGGUAUUAUAGUUUUAGGUGUUUAAAUGGAUUUUAGGGUGUAGGAUUUCUUAGGAUUCCAUAUGGUUUGGGGUUUAAGGUUUAGCCCUAUGAUUUAGAGUUUCUUAGGGUAUAUUAUUUUAGCAUUUAGGAUUUCUUAGGGUUUGGUUUUUUAAGGGUUUUUAGGAUUUAGGGUUUGGGGCUUAAGAUUUUCUAGGGUUUUAUUAGGUUUAGAGGAAUUUUUAGGUUUAGGGUUUUAAGGUGUUUAGGAUUUUUAUGGUUUGUUAACGAUUAAGGGGUUCUUAGAAUUUACGGAUUUUAUAGGGUUUUUAGGGUGUACGGUUUUUAAAAGUUUAGGGUUUUAAAAGUUUUUUACGGUUUUUUUUUAUUUCUUCAAGUUUAGGGUUUCUUUGGGUAUAAGGUCUACGUUUUUAUUUAAGGAUUUUUUAGGUUUAGGGCUUAAGUUUUUGUUGAAUUUUUUAGGUUUAGAGUUUUUUUUGGUUUAGGAUUUUAAAAGGAGUUUUCAAGAUUGUUAUGAUUUCCUACUGUUUAGGGAUUCUUAGGGCUUAGAAUUUCUUUGGGUUGAGGGCUUAGGAAUUUAAAUUUAGGGUUUUUAGGGGUUACGGGUUUUAAUGGUGUUUUUAGGUUUAGUAUUUUUAAAGGUGUUUUUAGGCUUUAGGGUUUGUUGGUUCUUCACAAGUCUUGAGGUUUAGGGGUUUCUCUAAGGUUUAGGGUUUAGUGUUUCUUAGGGUUUAGGAUUUUAAAAGGGGUUUUCAAGAUUGUUAUGAUUUCUUACGAUUUAGGGAUUCUUAAGGCUUAGGGUUUCUUUUGGUUAAGGUCUUAGGAUUUUAAAUUUAGGGUUUUUAGGGGUUAUGGGUUUUAAGGGUGUUUUUAGGCUUUAGGAUUUCUUAGGAUUUAGGGUUUUAGGGUUUUCAAGGUUUUUAUUGUUUAGCUCUUCUUAGGAUUUCUUAGGGUUUAGGGCUUCUUAGAGUUUCAUAAGGCUUAGGGUUGGGGGUUUAUCCCUAAGGAUUAGGGUUUAGGUUCUUAGGGUUUGAGUUGAACAUUUAAGGUCUCCUAGGUUUUUUUUGGGUCAUUCAGUGUGUAAGGUUUAGGGUUUUAGGCUUAGGGUUUUUCUAGAAUAGGGUUUAGGUUUGUUAGGUUUAAGAUUUAAUAGGUUUAGAGUUUGUAAAGUUUUUUUUGUUGUUUUUUAAUGUUUAUAUUUUCUUAGGAUUUAGGAUUUCUUUGGGUUUAGGGCUUCUUAGAGUUUCAUAAGGCUUAGGGUUGGGGGUUUAUCCCUAAGGUUUAGGGUUUAAGCUUUUUAGGGUGUGAGUUUAACAUUUAAGGUCUACUAGGUUUUUUUUUUGGGUCAUUUAGGGUCUAGGGGUUUAGGGUCUAGUGCUUUAGGUUUAGGCGUUUUCUAUGGUUUAGGGUUUUAGGUUUGUUAGGUUUAAGAUUUUUUAGAGGUUUUCUAGGGUUAGACUUUAUAAAAAUAAAUUUAUUGUUUUCUAGGGUUUUGGGUUUCUUAGUGCUUUUUUGGGUUUAGGGUUUGGGGUUUUCUUAGGGUUAGGGUUUUGGGCUUAUGAUUUUAAGGGUUUAGGGUUCAAGGUUUAGAGUUUGGAAUAUACGGUUCUUUAGGUUUAGGGGUUUUAAAGUUUUUUUUUUUUUAGGUUUUUUAGGGUUUAGUUUUUCUUAGUGAUUUUUAGGGUUUAGGAUUUCUUAGUGAUUUUUUAUGGUUUAGGGUUUAGGAUCUUUGGUUUUAGGGUUUAUAAGGGUUUAAGGUUUAGAGUUUCUUAGGGUUUCUUCGUUUAGGUUUUAGGGAUUCGGAUUUUAGGUUAAGUGUUUUUUAGAGUUUAUGGGUUUUUUUAGGUUGAUAAUUUUUAUGAUUAAGGUUUUCAAAUGUUUUAGGGUUUCUUAGGUAUUUUUAAGAAUUUGGAUUUCUUAAUAUUUAUGAUUACGUAAGCCUAUUAAAUUUAGGGUUUUUUCUAGGGCUUAUGGUUUUAAUGGGAUUUUUUUUUCCUUGGGUAUUAUAGUUUUAGGUAUUUAAAUGGAUUUUAGGGUUUAUGGUUUUUUUUAGGUUUGUGAUUUUUAUGAUUAAGGUUUCUAAAUGUUUUAGGGUUUCUUAGGUUGUUUUAAGAAUUUGGAUUUCUUAACAUUUAGGAUUACGUAAGCCUAAUAUAUUUAGGGUUUUUUCUAGGGCUUAUGGUUUUAAAGGGAUUUUUUUUCCUCGGGUAUUAUAGGUUUAGGUGUUUAAAUGGAUUUUUGUGUGUAGGAUUUCUUAGGAUUCCAUAUGGUUUGGGGUUUAAGGUUUAGCCCUAUGAUUUAGAGUUUCUUAGGGUAUAUUAUUUAGCGUUUAGGAUUUCUUAGAGUUUGGUCUUUUUAAGGGUUUUUUGGUUUUAGGGUUUUGGGCUUAAGAUUUUCUAGGGUUUUAUUAGGUUUAGAGGAAUUUUUAGGUUUAGGGUUUUAAGGUGUUUAGGAUUUUUAUGGUUUGUUAACGAUUAAGGGGUUCUUAGAUCGUACGGAUUUUAUAGGGUUUUUAGGGUUUACGGUUUUUAAAAGUGUUUUAGGGCUUUUUUUUUAUUUCUUAAAGCUUAGGGUUUCUUAAGGUUUAGGGUAGGUUUUUAGGGUUUACGGCUUUUAAAAGUUCAGGGUUUUAAAGGUUUUUUACGGUUUUUUUUAAUUUUUAAACUUUAGGGUUUCUUAAGGCUUAGCCCUAAGGUUUAGGGUUUCUUUGGGUAUAUGGUCUAAGUUUUUAUUUAAGGGUUUUUAAGGUUUAGGGCUUACGUUUUUGUUGAAUUUUUUUGGUUGAGAGUUUUUUAGGUUUAGUAUUUUAAAAAGGGUUUUCUAGAUUGUUAUGAUUUCCUAUGGUUUAGGGGUUCUUAGGGCUUAGAAUUUCUUUGGGUUAAGGGCUUAGGAUUUUAAAUUUAGGGUUUUUAGGGGUUACUGGUUUUAAGGGUGUUUUUAGGUUUAGUAUUUUUAAAAGUGUUUUAAGGCUUUAGGGUUUGUUGGUGUUUCACAAGUCUUGAGGUUUAGGGGUUUCCCUAAGGUUUAGGGUUUAGUGUUUCUUAGGGUUUAGGAUUUUAAAAGGGGUUUUCAAGAUUGUUAUGAUUUCUUACGAUUUAGGGGUUAAGAGUAAGGGUUUCUUUGGGUUAAGGGCUUAGGAUUUUAAAUUUAGGGUGUUUAGGGUUUACGGGAUCUAAGGGUGUUUUUAGGUAUUAGGGUUUGUUGGUGUUUCAUAAGUCUUGGGGUUUCCCUAAGGUUUAGGGUUUAGUGUUUCUUAGGGUUUAGGGUUUCUUAGGGGUUUUAGAUUUCUUAGAUUAGGCUUUUAAAGGUGUUGAUCUAAUAUGCUUAUGAUAUGCCAAAUUAAGGUUAGCUUGGGGUCACUCGUGAUCCUAGGUCUCGUGAUACGUCAAGCGGGUAACCUCGGGGAGUGACAAAAACAAUGUAUGAAUAAAAGCCUCUAACUAACUAGAGAUGUUGGGACAAGCCCCCAGCUAACUCUAGCAAAACUGAAACUAAAAUGAAAGACUGAAUAUAAAAACAUGUAAAUCGUCCUAAAAAAAUGAGGACUCACCACUGAUACUGCUGAAUACGGAUCGGGAACCGAUCUCCAUGUGAUCUGAAUACUGAGGAUCUGAACCUACAUCAAGAGAAGAGGCUAGUAUAGUAUGUAUCAGCAGUUGAAAGAUUCUGAGCAUGCAUGACAUGACAAAGCUGAACAAAUAUAUAUAACUUAACUUAAAUGUAUCGUCCUCGAAUAUAUUGAAGAAUAAUAUAAUCUGAACAUGAUGAAUAAGAGUUUAGGUUUUUGUUAAGGGAUUUUAAUGUUAGGGUUUAGAGCUUAAGUUUUUCUAAAAAGUUUUAGGUCAAGAGUUGUUUUUCAAUUUAGGAUUGAUAAAGAUUUUUUAGAAUCAAUAUUGUUUUUACGAUAUAUGAGUUCAUAGGCUUAGGACUUAGGGUUUUAGAUUAAGGAAUUUUUUUAGUGUUUUAAGGUUUGUUUUGGAAUUUUUAGUUUUAGGGUUUUAAAGGUUUUUAUUGUUUAGCUCUUCUUAGGAUUUCUUAGGGUUUAGGGCUUCUUAGAGUUUCAUAAGUCUUAGGGUUGGGAGUUUAUCCCUAAGGUUUAGGUUUUAAGUUUCUUCGGGUUUGAGUUUAAAAUUUAAGGUCUCCUAGGUUUUUUUUGGGUCAUUUAGGGUGUAGGUGUUUAGGGUUUAGUGUUUUAGGUUUAGGGUUUUUCUACGGUUUAGGGUUUAGGUUUGUUAGGUUUAAGAUUUUUUAGGUUUAGAGUUUUUAAAAUUUUUUUGUUGUUUUUUAAUGUUUAUAUUUUUCAGGAUUUAGGAUUUCUUUAAGUUUAGGGCUUCUUAGAGUUUCAUAAGGCUUAGGGUUGGGGAUUUAUCCCUAUGGUUUAGGGUUUAAGAUAUUUAGGAUUUGAGUUUAACAUUUAAGGUCUCCUAGGUUUUUUUUGGGUCAUUUAGGGUGUAGGUGUUUAGGGUUUAGUGUUUUAGGUUUAGGGUUUUUCUACGGUUUAGGGUUUAGGUUUGUUAGGUUUAAGAUUUUUUAGGUUUAGAGUUUUUAAAAUUUUUUUGUUGUUUUUUAAUGUUUAUAUUUUCUUAGGAUUUAGGAUUUCUUACGGUUUAGGGCUUGUUAGAAUUUCAUAAGGCUUAGGGUUGGGGGUUUAUCCCUAAGGUUUAGGGUUUAAGCUUUUUAGGGUGUGAGUUUAACAUUUAAGGUCUACUAGGUUUUUUUUUUGGGUCAUUUAGGGUCUAGGGGCUUAGGGUCUAGUGCUUUAGGUUUAGGCGUUUUCUAUGGUUUAGGGUUUUAGGUUUGUUAGGUUUAAGAUUUAAUAGGUUUAGAGUUUGUAAAGUUUUUUUUGUUGUUUUUUAAUGUUUAUAUUUUCUUAGGAUUUAGGAUUUCUUUGGGUUUAGGGCUUCUUAGAGUUUCAUAAGGCUUAGGGUUGGGGGUUUAUCCCUAAGGUUUAGGGUUUAAGCUUUUUAGGGUGUGAGUUUAACAUUUAAGGUCUACUAGGUUUUUUUUUUGGGUCAUUUAGGGUCUAGGGGCUUAGGGUCUAGUGCUUUAGGUUUAGGCGUUUUCUAUGGUUUAGGGUUUUAGGUUUGUUAGGUUGAAGAUUUUUUAGGUUUAGAGUUUGUAAAGUUUUUUUUGUUGUUUUUUAAUGUUUAUAUUUUCUUAUUUUAGGGUUUAGGGUUUAGGAACUUUGGUUUUAGGGUUUAUAAGGGUUUAAGGUUUAGAGUUUCUUAGGGUUUCUUCGUUUAGGUUUUAGGGAUUCGGAUUUUAGGUUAAGUAUUUUUUAGAGUUUAUGGGUUUUUUUAGGUUUAUGAUUUUUAUGAUUAAGGUUUUCAAAUGUUUUAGGGUUUCUUAGGUAUUUUUAAGAAUCUGGAUUUCUUAAGAUUAAUGAUUACGUAAGCCUAUUAUAUUUUGGGUUUUUUCUAGGGCUUAUGGUUUUAAAGGGAUUUUUUUUCCUCGGGUAUUAUAGUUUUAGGUGUUUAUAUGGAUUUUAGGGUGUAGGAUUUCUUAGGAUUCCAUAUGGUUUGGGGUUUAAGGUUUUAGCCCUAUGAUUUUAUAGUUUUAGGAUUUAGAGUUUCUUAGGGUAUAUUAUUUAGCGUUUAGGAUUUCUUAGGGUUUGGUUUUUUUAAAAGUUUUUAGUAUUUAGGGUUUUGGGCUUAAGAUUUUCUAGGGUUUUAUUAAGUUUUGAGGAAUUUUUAGGUUUUUAAGGUAUUUAGGAUAUUUAUGGUUUGUUAACGAUUAAGGGGUUCUUAGAUCUUACGGAUUUUAUAGGGUUUUUAGGGUUUACGGUUUUUAAAAGUUCAGGGUUUUUAAAGUUUAGUGUUUCUUAAGGUUUAGCCCUAAGGUUUAGGGUUUCUUUGAGUAUACUGUGUAAGUUUUUAUUGAAGGGUUUUUAAGGUUUAGGGCUUACAUUUUUGUUGAAUUUUUUAGGUUUAGAGUUUUUUUAGGUUGAAUUGUUAUGAUUUCCUACGGUUUAGGGGUUCUUAGGGCUUAGAAUUUCUUUGGGUUUAGGGCUUAGGAUUUUAAAUUUAGGGUUUUUAGGGGUUACGGGUUUUAAAGGUGUUUUUAGGUUUAUUAUUUUUAAACGUGUUUUUAGGCUUUAGGGUUUGUUGGUGUUUCACAAGUCUUGAGGUUUAGGGGUUUCCCUAAGGUUUAGGGUUUAGUGUUUCUUAGGGUUUAGGAUUUUAAAAGGGGUUACCAAGAUUGUUAUGAUUUCUUACGAUUUAGGGGUUAAGGCUAAGGGUUUCUUUUGGGUUAAUGGCUUAGGAUUUUAAAUUUAGUAUUUUUAGGGUUUACGGGUUCUAAGGGUGUUUUUAGGCUUUAGGGUUUGUUGGUGUUUCAUAAGUCUUGGGGUUUCCCUAAGGUUUAGUGUUUAGUGUUUCUUAGGGUUUAGGGUUUCUUAGGGGUUUUAUAUUUCUUAGAUUAGGCUUUUAAAGGUGUUGAUCUAAUAUGCUUAUAAUAUGCCAACUUAAGGUUAGCUUGGGGUCACUCGUGAUCCUAGGUCUCGUAAUACGUCUAGCGGGUAACCUCGGGGAGUGACAAAAACAAUGUAUGAAUAAAAGCCUCUAACUAACUAGAGAUGCUGGGACAAGCCCCUAGCUAACUCUAGCAAAACUGAAACUAAAAUGAAAGACUGAAUAUAAAAACAUGUAAAUCGUCUUCAAAAAAUGAGGACUCACCACUAAUAUUGCUGAAUACGGAUCGGGAACCGAACUCCAUGUGAUCUGAAUGCUGAGGACCUGAACCUACAUCAAGAGAAGAGGUAGCGUAGAGUAUGUAUCAUCAGUUGAAAGAUUCUGAGCAUGCAUGACAUGAUAAAGCUGAACAAAUAUAUAUAACUUAACAGAGCAUAUUGAAGAAAAAUAUAAUCUGAACAUGAUUAAUAAGAGUUUAGGUUUUUGUUUAAGGGAUUUUAGGUUAGGGUUUAGAGCUUAAGUUUUUCUAAAAAAUAUUAGGUGAAGAGUUAUUUUCAAUUUAGGGUUGAUAAAGAUUUUUUAGGAUCAAUAUUCUUUUUACGAUAUAUGAGUUCUAAGGGCUUAGGACUUAGGGUUUUAGAUUAAGGAAUUUUUUUAGUGGUUUUGAGGUUUGUUUUUGUAAUUUUUUAGUUUUAGGGUUUUAAAGGUUUUUAUUGUUUAGCUCUUCUUAGGAUUUCUUAGGGUUUAGGGCUUCUUAGAGUUUCAUAAGGCUUAGGGUUGAGGCUUUAUCCCUAAGGUUUAGGUUUUAAGUUUCUUAGGGUUUGAGUUUAACAUUUAAGGUCUCCUAGUUUUUUUUGGGUCAUUUAGGAUGUAGGUGUUUAGGGUUUAAGGUUUUUCUACGGUUUAGGGAUUAGGUUUGUUAGGUUUAAGAUUUUUUAGGUUUAGAGGUUUUAAAGUUUUUGUUAUUUUUUAAUGUUUAUAUUUUUUAAGAUUGAGGAUUUGUUAGUGUUUAGGGCUUCUUAGAGUUUCAUAAGGCUUAGGGUUGGGGGUUUAUCCCUACGGUUUAGGGUUUAAGCUUUUUAGGGUUUGAGUUUAACAUUUAAGGUCUCCUAGUUUUUUUUUGGGUCAUUUAGGGUCUAGGGUUUAGCGUUUAGUGUUUUUGGUUUAGGGGAUUUCUAUGGUUUAGGGUUUUAGGUUUGUUAGGUUUAAGAUUUAAUAGGUUUAGAGUUUGUAAAGUUUUUUUUGUUGUUUUUUAAUGUUUAUAUUUUCUUAGGAUUUAGGAUUUCUUUGGGUUUAGGGCUUCUUAGAGUUUCAUAAGGCUAAGGUCCAGGCUCUAUCCCUAAAGUUUAUGGUUUAGGUUUCUUUGGGUUUGAGUUGAACAUUUAAAGUCUCUUAGUUUUUUUUUGGGUCAUUCAGGAUGUAGGGUUUAGUGUUUUAGGUUUAGGGUUUUUCUAGAAUAGGGUUUAGGUUUGUUAGGUUUAAGAUUUUUAGAGGCUUUCUAGGUUUAGAGUUUAUAAAAAUAAAUUUAUUGUUUUCAACGGUUUUGGGUUUCUUAGUGCUUUUUUGGGUUUAGGGUUUUGGCUUAUGAUUUUUAUGGGUUUAGGGUUCAAGGUUUAGAUUUUGGAAUUUAGGGUUCUUUAGGUUUAGGGUUUUUAAAGUUUUUUUAGGUUUUUUAGGGUUAAGUUUUUCUUAAUGAUUUUUAGGGUUUAGGAUUUCUUAGUGAUUUUUUAGGGUUUAGGAUUUAGGAUUUUAGGUUUUAUGGUUUAUAAGGGUUUAAGGUUAAGAGUUUCUUAGGGUUUCUUCGUUUAGGUUUUAGGGAUUCGAAUUUUAGGUUAAGUAUUUUUUUAGAGUUUAUGGUUUUUUUUAGGUUUAUGAUUGUUAUGAUUAAGGUUUUCAAAUGUUUUAGGGUUUCUUAGGUUUUUUUAAGAAUUUGGAUUUCCUAAGAUUUAGGAUUACGUAAGCCUAAUAUAUUUUGGGAUUUUUCUAGGGCUUAUGGUUUUAAAGGGAUUUUUUUUCCCUCGGUUAUUAUAGUUUUAGGUGUUUAAAUGGAUUUUAGGGUGUAGGAUUUCUUUGGAUUCCAUAUGGUUUGUGGUUUAAGGUUUAGCCCAAUGAUUUAGAGUUAAGGAUUUAGAGUUUCUUAGGGUAUAUUAUUUAUCGUUUAUGAUUUCUUAGGGUAUGGUUUUUUUAAGAGUUUUUAGGAUUUAGGGUUUUGGGCUUAAGAUUUUCUAGGGUUUUAUUAGGUUUAGAGGAAUUUUUAGGUUUAGGGUUUUAAGGUAUUUAGGAUUUUUAUGGUUUGUUAAAGAUUGAGGGGUUCUUAGAUCUUACGGAUUUUAUAGGGUUUUUAGGGUUUACGGUUUUUAAAAGUUUAGGGUUUUAAAAAUAUUUUAGGGUUUUUUUUUAUUUCAUAAAGUUUAGGGUUUCUUAAGGUUUAGCCCUAAGGUUUAGGGUUUUUUGGGUAUAAGGUCUAAGUUUUUAUUUAAUGGUUUUUAAGGUUUAGGGCUUACGUUUUUGUUGAAUUUUUUAGGUUUAGAGUUUUGUUUAGGUUUAGCAUUUUAAAAGUGGUUUUCAGGAUUGUUAUGAUUUCCUAUGGUUUAGGGGUUCUUAGGGCUUAGAAUUUCUUUGGCUUAAGGGCUUAGGAUUUUCAAUUUAGGGUUUGUAGGGGUUCCGGGUUUUAAGGGUUUUUUUAGGUUUAGUACUUUUAAAGGUGUUUUUAGGCUUUAGGUUUUGUUGGUGUUUCACAAGUCUUGAGGUUUAGGGGUUUCACUUAGGUUUAGGGUUUAGUGUUUCUUAGGGUUUAGGAUUUUAAAAGGGGUUUUCAAGAUUGUUAUGAUUUAUUACGAUUUAGGGGUUCUUAAGGCUUAGUCUUUCUUUCGGUUAAGGACUUAAGAUUUUAAAUUUAGGGUUUUUAGGGGUUACGGGUUUUAGGGGUGUUUUUAGGCUUUAGGGUUUAUUGGUGUUUCAUAAGUCUGGGGUUUCCCUAAGGUUUAGGGUUUAGUGUUUCUUAGGGGUUUUAGAUUUCUUAGAUUAGUCUUUUAAAGGUGUUGAACUAAUAUGCUUAUGAUAUGCCAACUCAAGGUUAGCUUUGGGUCACUCGUGAUCCUAGGUUUUGUGUUACGUCAAGCGGGUAACCUCGGGGAGUGACAAAUACCAUGUAUAAAGAAAAGCCUCUAACUAGAUAUGCUGGGACAAGCUCCCAGCUAAAUCUAGCAAAACUGAAACUAAAAUGAAAAACUGAAUAUAAAAAUAUGUAAAUCGUCCUCGAAAAAUGAGGACUCACCACUGAAAUUGCUGAAUACAAAUCGGGAACCGAUCUCCGCGUGAUCUGAAUGCUGAGGACCUGAACCUAUAUCAAGAGAAGACGUAGCGUAGAGUAUGUUUCAGCAGUUGAAAGAUUCUGAGCAUACAUGACAUGACAAAGCUGAACAAAUAUAUAUAACUUAACAGAGAAUACUGAAGAAUAAUAUAAUUCGAACAUGAUGAAUAAGAGUUUAGGUUUUUGUUUAAGGGAUUUUAGGUUAGGGUUUAGGGCUUAAGUUUUCUAAAUUUUUUAGGUCAAGAGUUGUUUUCAAUUUAGGAUUAAUAAAGAUUUUUUAGGAUCAAUAUUGGUUUUACGAUAUAUGAGUUCUAAGGGCUUAGGACUUAGGGUUUUAGAUUAAGGAAUUUUUUUAGGGCUUUUAAGAUUUGUUUUUGGAAUUUUUAGUUUUAGGGUUUUCAAGGUUUUUAUUGUUUAGCUCUUCUUAGGAUUUCUUAGGGUUUAGGGCUUCUUAGAGUUUCAUAAGGCUUAGGGUUGGGGGUUUAUUCCUAAGGUUUAGGGUUUAAGUUUCUUGGGUUUGAGUUUAACAUUUAAGGUCUCCAAGGUUUUUUUUGGGUCAUUAGGGUGUAGGUGUUUAGGGUUUAGUGUUUUAGGUUUAGGGUUUUUCUACGGUUUAGGGUUGUUAGGUUUAAGAUUUUUAAGGUUUAGAGUUUUUAAACUUUUUUUUGUUAUUUUUUAAUGUUUAUAUUUUUUAGGAUUUAGGAUUUCUUAGGGUUUAGGGCUUCUUAGAGUUUCAUAAGGCUAAGGUCCAGGCUUAUCCCUAAGGUUUAGGGUUUAAGCUUUUUAGGGUUUGAGUUUAACAUUUAAGGUGUCUUAGGUUUUUUUUGGGUCAUUUAGGGUCUAGGGGUUUAGGGUCUAGUGCUUUAGGUUUAGGCGUUUUCUAUGGUUUAGGGUUUUAGGUUUGUUAGGUUUAAGAUUUUUUAGGUUUAGAGUUUGGAAAGUUUUUUCUGUUGUUUUUUAAUGUUUAUAUUUUCUUAGGAUUUAGGAUUUCUUAGGGUUUAGGGCUUCUUAGAAUUUCAUAAGGCUUAGGGUUAGGGGAUUAUCCCUAAGGUUUAGGGUUUAGGUUUCGUAGGGUAUGAGUUGAACAUUUAAGGUCUCCUAGGUUUUUUUUGGGUCAUUCAGUUUUGUAGGGUUUAGUGUUUUAGGUUUAGGGUUUUUCUAGAAUAGGGUUUAGGUUUGUUUGGUUUAAGAUUUUUUAGAGGUUUUCUAGGGUUAGAGUUUAUAAAAAUAAAUUUAUUAUUUCAAGGGUUUUGUGUUUCUUAGUGCUUUUUUGGGUUUAGGGUUUGGGGUUUUCUUAGGGUUGAGGUUUUGGGCUUAUGAUUUUUAAUGGUUUAGGGUUCAAGGUUUAGAGUUUUGAAUUUAGGGUUCUUUAGCUUUAGAGGUUUUCAAGUUUUUUUUUUUAGGUUUUUUAGGGUUUAGUUUUUCUUAGUGAUUUUUAGGGUUUAGAAUUUCUUAGUGAUUUUUUAGGGUUUAGUGUUUAGGAUCUUAGGUUUUAGGGUUUAUAAGGGUUUAAGGUUUAGAGUUUCUUAGGGUUUUUUAGUUUAGGUUUUAGGGAUUCGGAGUUUAGGUUAAGUGUUUUUUUGAGUUUAUGGUUUUUUUUAGGUUUAUGAUUUUUAUGAUUAAGGUUUUUAAAUGUUUUAGGGUUUCUUAGGUUUUUUUAAGAAUUUGGAUUUCUUAACAUUUAGGAUUACGUAAGCCUAAUAUAUUUAGGGUUUUUUCUAGGGCUUAUGGUUUUAAAGGGAUUUUUUUUCCUCGGGUAUUAUAGUUUUAGGUGUUUAAAUGGAUUUUUGUGUGUAGGAUUUCUUAGGAUUCCAUAUGGUUUGGGGUUUAAGGUUUAGCCCUAUGAUUUAGAGUUUCUUAGGGUAUAUUAUUUAGCGUUUAGGAUUUCUUAGGGUUUGGUUUUUUUAAGGGUUUUUAGGAUUUAGGAUUUUGGGCUGAAGAUUUUCUAGGGUUUUAUUUGAUUUAGGGUUUUAUUAGGUUUAGAGGAAUUUUCAGGUUUAGAGUUUUAAGGUGUUUAGGGUUUUGAUGGUUUUUUACCGAUUAAGGGGUUCUUAGAUCUUACGGAUUUUAUAGGGUUUUUAGGGUUUACGGUUUUUAAAAGUUUAGGGUUUUAAAAGUUUUUAGGGUUUUUUUCUUCUUAAAGUUUAGGGUUUCUUAAGGUUUAGCCCUAAGGUUUAGGGUUUCUUUGGGUAUAAGGUCUAAGUUUUUGUUUAAGGGUUUUUAAGGUUUAGGGUUUAAGUUUAUGUAGAAUUUUUUAGGUUCAACGUUUUUUUAGGGUUAGGAUUUUUAAAGGUUUAGGGUUUGUUGGUGUUUCAUAAGUCUUGGAGUUUCCCUAAGGUUUAGGGUUUAGUGUUUUAUAGGGUUUAGUGUUUCUAAGGGGUUUUAGAUUUCUUAGAUUAGGCUUUUAAAGGUGUUGAUCUAAUAUGCUUAUGAUAUGCCAACUCAAGGUUAGCUUAGGGUCACUCGUGAUCCUAGUUCUCGUGUUACGUCAAGCGGGUAACCUCGGGUAGUGACAAAAACAAUGUAUGAAUAAAAGCCUCUAACUAACUAGAGAUGCUGGGACAAACCCCCAGCUAACUCUAGCAAAACUGAAACUAAAAUGAAAGACUGAAUAUAGAAACAUGUAAGUCGUGUUCGAAAAAUGAGGACUCACCGCUGAUAUUGCUGAACACGAACCGAUCUCCGCGUGAUCUGAAUACUGAGGACUUGAACCUACCUCAAGAGAAGAGGUAGCGUAGAGUAUGUAUCAGUAGUUGAAAGUUUCUGAGCAUGCAUGACUGAUAACGUUCAAAUAUACUUCUUGAAAAGAAAUAUAAACUAUCGUAUGCAAUAUAUUACCCAACUAUGAGUCGGGGUCGAUCCCACAGAGAAUAUGGAAGAAUAUUGUCAAUAGCAAAUAUUUAACUCGAUAGUCGUUAUAUAAAAAUGAGGGGAUUUAAAUAGAAAUAAAAUAAAAUUAAUAAAAAGAUAACUUUGAACUAAGUAUUUAUUUAUAUUCAGAUUAUGAAAUAACUAGGAAUGUGUUCCCCAUAAGCUCAUAACGCAAUAAUCCUAAUAAUAGUAAUCUUUAUCUAGUGUAUUACAUGCAAAGUGAUAAGUUAGGUAUCUCUAAAUCCUUGAUCCGGCAUCUAAAGAAUUUCACCCCGCACCUUGAUCCGGCUACGUGUGUAUAAUUACUAACCCUUACCUUUACCUAUUAGAUAGUAUCACACUAAAUCUAUGUUGAUAAUUCUUUUCUUGUUAAUUACCUCCUUGGUCCGGCAAGUAGUAACAAGGCGAGUUCUAACGUUGGCCACCGUUAAAAAGACUUCUAAACGAAAGAAUUAUCAAUGCAUGCAAAACACUAUUCAAGAAUUGCUUAGUUAUUAUUCAUACUUUGUUAAUCGGUUAUGGUUCUCACAACCCUAGUUAUGAAAGUUAGCUACUCAUUAUCUCAAAAAAACACAAACAAAAUUUAUUAAAAUAAAUAUGCUUGUGUUAAUCAUAAAAAGUUAAGAACAAUAGCUAAACUAUCUUUUAUUAAUCACGAAUACAAAUAAAUAAUAAAGGAGAAGAAAGAAUAAACCACAAUUCUCCGGCCUCCACGACGGCUCUUCCAAAGUUCCUAAGCUAGAAGAAAAUUUAUAUUGUGUCUUGUAGCUUGGUUCUCCCCAAAUAAUUAUUUCCAUCCCCUAUUUAUAGAUGUAGGAAACUCUAAAUAAAAUAAUUGAGUCCAAACAAAUUAGGAAAUCAAAACCCGAAAGGAAUUGGAUUCCUUUUUCUCCGCGUGUAGCUUCCAAUUUUGUGCGUGUAACUUCUUUUGAUGUUGCUGCCUGAUACGUGGACCAGCAGGUAAGUUUUUCUUUCCUUAUUUGCAUAAAAAUUAUAUUAAUAUUAUCCUAACUUAUUUCCAUUAAGCUGCCUGCUUGAUUUCCUUCUUUAACUUUUCAUCUUUAAUUUGUUUUAGCUCCAAACAUCUCCAAUUUUCCAUCAAUUUAAUCCUACAAAUAAAAUACACAAUUUAUCACAAUCCAUAAAAUUUAUGCUCAUAAAGGAAAAAUAUAAAUACUAAAUGUGAGGCAAAUAAUGAUUAAAAAUAUGUAUUUUGACCUCACAUCAACGACAUGACAAAGCUGAACAAAUAUAUAUAACUUAACAGAGCAUAUUGAAGAAUAAUAUAAUCUGAACAUGAUGAAUAAAAGUAUAGGUUUUUGUUUAAGGGAUUUUAGGUUAGGGUUUAGAGCUUAUGUUUUUCUAAAAAAUUUAGGUCAAGAGUUGUUUUCAAUUUAGGGUUGAUAAAGAUUUUUUAGGAUCAAUAUUGUUUUUACGAUAUAUGAGUUCUAAGGGCUUAGGACAUAGGGUGGGUUUUAGAUUAAGGAAUUUUUUUAGGGUUUUUAAGGUUUGUUUUGUGAAUUUUUAGUUUUAGGGUUUUAAAGGUUUUUAUUGUUUAGCUCUUCUUAGGAUUUCUUAGGGUUUAGGGCUUCUUAGAGUUUCAUAAGGCUUAGGGUUGGGGGUUUAUCCCUAAGGUUUAGGGUUUAAGCUUUUUAGGGUGUGAGUUUAACAUUUAAGGUCUACUAGGUUUUUUUUUUGGGUCAUUUAGGGUCUAGGGGCUUAGGGUCUAGUGCUUUAGGUUUAGGCGUUUUCUAUGGUUUAGGGUUUUAGGUUUGUUAGGUUUAAGAUUUUUUAGAGGUUUUCUAGGGUUAGACUUUAUAAAAAUAAAUUUAUUGUUUUCUAGGGUUUUGGGUUUCAAUUUUAUUGUUGUUUUUUAAUGUUUAUAUUUUCUUAGGAUUUAGGAUUUCUUUGGGUUUAGGGCUUCUUAGAGUUUCAUAAGGCUUAGGGUUGGGGGUUUAUCCCUAAGGUUUAGGGUUUAAGUUUCUUAGGGUUUGAGUUUAACAUUUAAGGUCUCCUAGGUUUUUUUUUGGGUCAUUUAGGGUGUAGGUGUUUAGGGUUUCACUACAAGAAAUAUAACUUUUAACGACCAUUUUUUAACGAAGGGACGUGAAUUCCGUCGUUAUAAAUAUAAUUUCAACGACCAAUUGUUUUCCCGAUCGUUAAAGCUAAUUUUAGCUCAAUAUUAGCCUCGAGAUAAUAUCUUAUCAUAACAGCCGAUCGUUAAAAAAUAAUUAAUCAAUAAAACACCUACUAAACUUUCUCUGAUUUUCUUUUCCCCAAUAUACCCUCCCACGUCUGAAAAAAAAUAAACCCACGCUUCCAUUAACACAAACAGAGUUUCAUAUUGUAGAACGUCUCGUCUUCUGCGUCACCAUCAUGUUCAUCCAGUUUCUGGGAGAAAAUUAAAUUUAUCGACUAUCUCGAUAACAAUCGUUCAUCUAGUUUCUUUUCAAGAAAAGGUUUGAAUUUUUACCCUUUUUGUAUGUUAAAUUUUGUUCAAGUAAAUAGGGUUAUUCGCACUUGUAAGUAUAUCAAUGUUUCUGUUGGUGGGUUAUUCCUUAAGAAUAUUUUCAUUGUCGAUUUCAAUUAUCCUUAUGUGGGUUAAAGAAAUUCUAAAUUAUCUUAAUAUUAGUUUUUAAAAAACUGUGACAUGGUCAAUUUUGAUAUACAAUCCCAAAAAUCAUCUUUAUCGACUUUAUGGAAUCAUCAUUGGAGUCUCUCAAUGUUAAGAAAUUUGUUGAUAAACAUGCUUCUUAUAUUCUGUAAAUGGUUAAUUUGUAUAAUUUGCAGUGGAUCCGCUUUAUCAUCAGACAUGAGCUCUCUUUGAUUAAGAUGAUGUGAAUGGUCGUUUGUUGAAUAACCUAGGAAUCUAUGGUAAUUGUUGUUCCCAUUUUGAUUCAUUUGAGAUACCUAGGUUGUCUGUACCAGAAGCAAUUCUACAUGAUAAAAUAAAGUUCAUUGAUAUAUGGUUUGCUAAGGGUUUGUACCUUCAAAUUUAUGUGGUUUGGGUUUUUUUUUCAAUUAGAUGUUUAACUUUUUCUUUAUAUGUGAUCCACUAUCAAUCGAUUGUUAUAAAUCUAUUUUUACAGUAUAGAUUUUGUUGAAGGAAUGAUGUUGAAUAUACCUAAAAAGGACGAGAUAUCGUCAAGUAUGAGCCAUAAAAUUUAUCAAUUUAGUGGAGAGAUGUUGGUACGAGCUAAAAUAGGUUUUCUUGACAAAAUUUUACCCGACUAAAAUUCUAACUCAUUAAGCCUAUGUGUGGAUAAGAUUACAUUGACCUCUCAACGUUAUGUAAAAGACCUCUCUCCAUCAAUUUGCUCAACAGAUAGGGCUUGUAUUCAUCGGUGUGACAGUGGCAACACAAUAGCUCUAGUGAGUAUAAAUUCCUUGCUUCUCGGUUAUUGAUUUAUCUUUCUAUUUAUUGUUCUUCGUUUGAUGUCUAGUUUUUAUUCCCUAGAAGAUUAUUCACAAACGAUCUUAUAGAAUUUGAAAUUUGUGCAUUUUAGAUUUGUAUAAUUUUAUUCAGAAAAUUAGUUGUUCUAUCCAUAUAAAGUUAUUGGGAACAUCAGCAAAAGAAUCAUCCAUGUAGAGAAAAUUUGUAAUUUUGGCGAUUGCAUAGUAAUUUAAACUUCAGUUUUUAUAGCCCAAGACAGAAGGUUGUAUAUCUAUAUUUUUUUCUUUGAAAGACUUAAAUGAUUGUCAUUUGUGCAAAACAUUUGCAUAAUAUGUGUUUAUUUUGAAUUGUUGUGAUGGUUUAAGAAGCAAAUGGUUGCUGCAUUUUGGCCAAAUGUUCUACAGUUCUGAACCAAAUUGCUAUCGAAUUUUGGGCUGUUCUAUUGCUACAUUUUUUGCCAGAUUAAAGUCAAUUGCUUCUAUAUGUUGAGUUACACUUGUUGCACUUUAAGUCAGCCAACUGCUACCUUUUUGCCAAAAAAAAUUACUCCUAUAAAUGCUGAACUUUGGGAAGAAUUGGAGGCUGAAGGGCCGUUGCAUUUUAGCUAAACUAAUGUUGCAUUUUGAGCAGAUUUGAUUUAAUUGCUGCUGCUUUUUUCGGGCAAAAACUGCUGCACUUGAUGCAGAUUUGUUGCUACUAUUUUGGUGCCAAUUUUAUACUAUAUGUGAUUAAGUAGCUGCUGCAUUUUUUAGGCAAUAAAAAAGAAUAUGUUCAUAAUUUAUCUAUCUCGUUCAUAUUUAUGUGCAUUUAAAAAGUGAAUAUAUCAAAGAACUUGCUGAAACUUUAUCUAUAAAAAUAAUUGAAUAGUGUUAUAAAUUCAUUAUGGUCUACGACAUAAGAAUGAAUCAACUGCUUAAUUAAGUCAUUUGACAUUUUUAAACUUGAAACUGGAACAUUCUAUGUUUGGAUCUCUCAGUAUCCAAUAGCAGAGGGAGAUUAAUCUUCUUCUCUUAACGACUAGAGUAAAUAAUUUUUUUAGUUUAGAUAUAAAUUUACUUUUGUCUGUUUUUGUAGCAUUAUCCAUUUUGCUAGGAAAAAAUACUACAAAAUGGUGUAGAGUAUUAAAUAUUGAAUGAUGUAGCACUCGUGGUGUUUUAACCUUUGUAUACUAGCACACCAAUAGUUUCGAAACUUAAACACUUCAACUCUUGUUGUAUUUAGCUUGCGGAUUUCAUGUAGCAACAUUUGUUAAUUCUUAACUUCUUUUUUACUCCAUUUAGAGGCAUAUUUAUGGGUCUUUCACUUAAUUAUACCAUCCCUCAAAGAGCAUAAACUAAAUAAGUUUGACUUGGGAAGCCUUAUAUCCUUAUCUACUCUAUUUUGGUCAUGUGCUACUAGAAAGAACCCUUAAAAAGUUUCUUCCUUGGAUGCAGAAAUGGUUUGCUAGAAUUGUUCAAAGCAUCAUUUUGAUCAAAAGCAGAUUUAAGGUUGUAGUAAUGAGUGCACAACACAUAAAGGCUCUUUCUUAGUUGGUUCUUAUUGAAAAGAGAUUUGUCUCUUUAUUAAAUUCAUCAGGUAUAUAAUUUCAAGUUUUCUUAUCAAGAAAAUUGUUCGAUUGGUUCCCCAGCUUAAUUUACUCAACAACAAGGUCAACAAAAACCUUGUCUAGGGAGGGUGUCCAUCUUGUUCUCAGGGUUCUUGUUUAAGUUGAAUUUUCUUAGCUUCGGAAUCCAUAGUUGAUAAUAGAGGUACCAGCGACAACAAAGAUUGUCCUCAUCUGCCUAACCUGCUAAGCUCAACCUCAAAACAACCUAGUAUCGAGAAGUGUGGUACCUACCUCAAGUUGGAUGCAUUCUUUUGAGGUAAUUAUAUUUCUUAUUAAUGAGCAUUUAUCUGUUGUAGGAUUUGUCCAGAAAAGAUACAAAAUUUUCUUCUUUCUUGUUUGUUAUGGCAAUUUCCUUUUGACUUGAUUGAAAGAUGAAUUAAGAAAUAUAUAUAAAAUAAGGUUCAUGUCAAUGAAGUACUUCAAAGAGAUUCAGAAAGUUAAGUUGUACAGGUUCCUAAUUUACUAUAUGACUAGUGAACUAUAUAUCAACAUCAUUUUGGAAAACAGUGGAUAUAGAGAAAAGGUCGUAAAACACCUUCGUUACUGUAUGUAGCUUGUGACAUAACUUUUGGUAGCAAUUUCUGAAAAAUAUCCUUCUGGGAAACAGAUGCUAUAAGACAUGCUAGACCCUCAACUCAAAAAAAUGGAUACACACUGCUUGUCUCAAGUUAUUUAUUAAUCCUUUAAUUGUAUAGCCACAUUAGACCGUACGUUUCUAAUUUUUUUAUUUGUUUUUUGAGUAUUUCAGUUUAUUCCCUGCUCACUGAUUUCUGUUGAAGUUGUUUUAGUCGCCUGCUCUGAAGUUAAUACUUGAAUAUUUAUUCCUCAUUUUGGUAUUUGCUUUCUUAUUCAUCAAUUUUGAUUUUAGGGAAAAAGUAGCAUUUAUUAAUAUACUAACAUGAACUUUUUCUUUUUACAGAUCAAUAAUUUGGAGUGUUAAAAACCUAUCCACGAAGAAAGUGCAAAUCAAGUAUCAACAACUAAAAUAUUCAAGAACCGGUUAAAGACCAGAGAAACCUAUUCAAUAUUUUAUUAGUUGUUUAAAUAUGUUUUCAUUGGUGCAUAAUCUUUAUAAUUGUUAUGUGUUGAAUAAAUGUCAUAAAUUUGAUAGAUGUGUUUUUAAUAAUGUUAUGAUUUAGUUUUUUGUAAUUUAUGAAAUUUUAUAUGAAUUCUGAUAUUUUUUUAUAAGUUUUUGGUUUAGUUUUAUACAUUUUUAUUAUAAUUGGAUUUUGGUUUGAAAGCAUACCGACAAUUAGAGAAUGUAAUUUCUUUCACUAAAAGAACUAAGAUUGAACAGUUUUACUACUGUAAAAAAAUGUUAGUAACGAUCGGAAUGAUAGUUCACGAAAGGAAAUGUUGAUCGCUAGAGAUAUUUAUAACGAUCGGAAUGCUAAUUCACGAAAGGAAAUGUUGGUCGCUAAACAUAUAUAUAAUGACUGGAUUUCUUGCUGUCGCUAAAGGUAUUUAACGACCGGAUUUGGAAUCCAGUCGUUAACUUUUAACGACGGAGCUUUUAGCGACCGGUGACGACCAUUUGUUUUCGAUCGUUAUAGAUUAAUAACGACCGGUACAGGACCUUUAGCGACCAAAAUUUCUCUCGCUAAAAGUUAUUUUUCUUGUAGUGGUUUAGUGUUUUAGGUUUAGGGUUUUUCUAGAAUAGGGUUUAGGUUUGUUAGGUUUAAGAUUUUUUAGGAUUUAGGGUUUAGGAUCUUAGGUUUUAGGGUAUUAGGGUUUACAACGGUUUAAGGUUUAGAGUUUCUUAGGGUUUCUUCGUUUAGGUUUUAGGGAUUCGGAUUUUAGGUUAAGUGUUUUUUAGAGUUUAUGGUUUUUUUUAGGUUUAUGAUUUUUAUGAUUAAGGUUUUUAAAUGUUUUAGGGUUUCUUAGGUUUUUCUAAGAAUUUGGAUUUCUUAAGAU
RNAcentral lists this long non-coding RNA (23849 nucleotides) under Solanum tuberosum (potato). RNAcentral's name for it is "long non-coding RNA (STUB_LNC000498)". Lineage: Eukaryota; Viridiplantae; Streptophyta; Magnoliopsida; Solanales; Solanaceae. The record is from RNAcentral.